This 433-nucleotide ribosomal RNA is filed under the name uncultured bacterium. Its description in RNAcentral is "partial 16S ribosomal RNA". It matches the Rfam family "Bacterial small subunit ribosomal RNA", at positions 29 to 507 of the family's 1533-position model. The record is from RNAcentral.
AACGAACGCUGGCGGCAUGCCUAACACAUGCAAGUCGAACGAGACCUUCGGGUCUAGUGGCGCACGGGUGCGUAACGCGUGGGAACCUGCCCUUAGGUUCGGAAUAACUCCCCGAAAGGGGUGCUAAUACCGGAUAAUGUCUUCGGACCAAAGAUUUAUCGCCUUUGGAUGGGCCCGCGUUGGAUUAGCUAGUUGGUAGGGUAAAAGCCUACCAAGGCGACGAUCCAUAGCUGGUCUGAGAGGAUGAUCAGCCACACUGGGACUGAGACACGGCCCAGACUCCUACGGGAGGGAGCAGUGGGGAAUAUUGGACAAUGGGCGAAAGCCUGAUCCAGCAAUGCCGCGUGAGUGAUGAAGGCCUUGGGGUUGUAAAGCUCUUUUACCCGGGAUGAUAAUGACAGUACCGGGAGAAUAAGCUCCGGCUAACUCCGUG